UACGUAGGGUGCGAGCGUUGUCCGGAAUUACUGGGCGUAAAGAGCUCGUAGGUGGUUUGUUGCGUUGUUCGUGAAAACUCACAGCUUAACUGUGGGCGUGCGGGCGAUACGGGCAGACUGGAGUACUGCAGGGGAGACUGGAAUUCCUGGUGUAGCGGUGGAAUGCGCAGAUAUCAGGAGGAACACCGGUGGCGAAGGCGGGUCUCUGGGCAGUAACUGACGCUGAGGAGCGAAAGCGUGGGGAGCGAACAGG
Molecule: ribosomal RNA, 253 nt
Filed under: uncultured bacterium
Lineage: Bacteria
Description: partial 16S ribosomal RNA
Rfam family: Bacterial small subunit ribosomal RNA
Source: RNAcentral